RNAcentral lists this ribosomal RNA (513 nucleotides) under uncultured bacterium. RNAcentral's name for it is "bacterial SSU rRNA". It matches the Rfam family "Bacterial small subunit ribosomal RNA", at positions 387 to 918 of the family's 1533-position model. The record is from RNAcentral.
UCUAGCCAUGCCGCGUGAGUGAUGAAGGCCUUAGGGUCGUAAAGCUCUUUCGCCUGUGAUGACAAUGACAGUAGCAGGUAAAGAAACCCCGGCUAACUCCGUGCCAGCAGCCGCGGUAAUACGGAGGGGGUUAGCGUUGUUCGGAAUUACUGGGCGUAAAGCGCGCGUAGGCGGAUUAGAAAGUUGAGGGUGAAAUCCCGGGGCUCAACCUCGGAACUGCCUCCAAAACUGCUAGUCUAGAGUUCGAGAGAGGUGAGUGGAAUUCCGAGUGUAGAGGUGAAAUUCGUAGAUAUUCGGAGGAACACCAGUGGCGAAGGCGGCUCACUGGCUCGAUACUGACGCUGAGGGGCGAAAGUGUGGGGAGCAAACAGGAUUAGAUACCCUGGUAGUCCACACCGUAAACGAUGAAUGCCAGUCGUCGGGUAGUAUACUAUUCGGUGACACACCUAACGGAUUAAGCAUUCCGCCUGGGGAGUACGGUCGCAAGAUUAAAACUCAAAUGAAUUGACGGGG